AUCACUUCUCGGCCUUUUGGCUAAGAUCAUGUGUAGUAUCUUAUAAAUGGGAUCUGGCCCUAAAUUCUCAUGGUUCCCACACACU
Molecule: non-coding RNA, 85 nt
Organism: Podarcis lilfordi (Lilford's wall lizard)
Lineage: Eukaryota; Metazoa; Chordata; Lepidosauria; Squamata; Lacertidae
Source: the annotation of a GenBank genome assembly